AAUCAACGCUGGCGGCGUGCCUCAGACAUGCAAGUCGAACGCGAAAGUCUCCUUCGGGGGGUACACGAGCGGCGAACGGGUGAGUAACACGUGGGUGACCUGCCCUCAGCUCUGGGAUAAGCCUGGGAAACUGGGUCUAAUACUGGAUAUGACUCCACGGUGCAUGUCGUGGGGUGGAAAGCCUUGUGCGGCUGAGGAUGGGCCCGCGGCCUAUCAGCUUGUUGGNGGGGUGAUGGCCUACCAAGGCGACGACGGGUAGCCGGCCUGAGAGGGCGACCGGCCACACUGGGACUGAGACACGGCCCAGACUCCUACGGGAGGCAGCAGUGGGGAAUCUUGCGCAAUGGGCGAAAGCCUGACGCAGCGACGCCGCGUGAGGGAUGACGG
RNAcentral lists this ribosomal RNA (387 nucleotides) under uncultured bacterium. RNAcentral's name for it is "bacterial SSU rRNA". It matches the Rfam family "Bacterial small subunit ribosomal RNA", at positions 28 to 414 of the family's 1533-position model. The record is from RNAcentral.